AACUUUAGUACGAGAGGAUUGGGUUGGACGCACCCCUGGUGUGCCAGUUGGACCGCUCGGUCCAUAGCUGGGUAGCUACGUGCGGCAGGGAUAAUCGCUGAAAGCAUCUAAGCGAGAAGCCCACCCGGAGAUAAGUGUUGCUUUGAGACCCCUUGAAGACUACAAGGUUGAUAGGCCACAUGUGUAAGCGGAGAAAUCCGUUCAGCUAAGUGGUACUAACGGUCAAAGACUUUG
Molecule: ribosomal RNA, 234 nt
Filed under: Planctomycetota bacterium
Lineage: Bacteria; Pseudomonadati; Planctomycetota
Description: Planctomycetes bacterium partial 23S ribosomal RNA
Rfam family: Bacterial large subunit ribosomal RNA
Source: RNAcentral